GACAGAGGGUGCAAACGUUGUUCGGAAUCACUGGGCGUAAAGCGCGUGUAGGUGGCUUGGCAAGUCGGGCGUGAAAUCCCGGGGCUCAACCCCGGAAGUGCACUCGAUACUGCCUCGCUAGAGUCCUGGAGAGGAAGGUGGAAUACUUGGUGUAGAGGUGAAAUUCGUAGAUAUCAAGUAGAACACCGGUGGCGAAGGCGGCCUUCUGGACAGUGACUGACGCUGAGACGCGAAAGCGUGGGGAGCAAACAGG
This 253-nucleotide ribosomal RNA is filed under the name uncultured bacterium. RNAcentral's name for it is "partial 16S ribosomal RNA". It matches the Rfam family "Bacterial small subunit ribosomal RNA", at positions 524 to 776 of the family's 1533-position model. The record is from RNAcentral.